Molecule: ribosomal RNA, 468 nt
Filed under: uncultured bacterium
Lineage: Bacteria
Description: partial 16S ribosomal RNA
Rfam family: Bacterial small subunit ribosomal RNA
Source: RNAcentral
GACGAACGCUGGCGGCGUGCUUAACACAUGCAAGUCGAACGGAAAGGCCCUGCUUUUGUGGGGUGCUCGAGUGGCGAACGGGUGAGUAACACGUGAGUAACCUGCCCUUGACUUUGGGAUAACUUCAGGAAACUGGGGCUAAUACCGGAUAGGAGCUCCUGCUGCAUGGUGGGGGUUGGAAAGUUUCGGCGGUUGGGGAUGGACUCGCGGCUUAUCAGCUUGUUGGUGGGGUAGUGGCUUACCAAGGCUUUGACGGGUAGCCGGCCUGAGAGGGUGACCGGCCACAUUGGGACUGAGAUACGGCCCAGACUCCUACGGGAGGCAGCAGUGGGGAAUAUUGCACAAUGGGCGGAAGCCUGAUGCAGCAACGCCGCGUGCGGGAUGACGGCCUUCGGAUUGUAAACCGCUUUCGCCUGUGACGAAGCGUGAGUGGCGGUAAUGGGUAAAGAAGCACCGGCUAACUACGUG